AUGGCAUUUAACAAUAUAAAUCUCCAUUUUCAAUGCUUGCAUAAAUCUAAUGAUUUUUUUCUCUUGAGCAAAGAGUCUUUAAUGCCUUCCUGGUGUGUUUUGCAGAGCACUGGAUCAACAUCACACAUGGAAUAUAUUUGUAAAGAGACAGGCAGGAUUAUGUCAUACCCAGAAGGGAUAAUAAUCAGAUAUGUCUCCCAAAUGUAACUUUUGUACUCCUAACUCCAUAUGGGUAUCUGAUUCUCAGAGGACUUGAUGAUGCCAGAACUGAAGUUUCAGAAUGGGAUCACUUCCUGCCUAGCUGGAAAUGAUAACCACAUAUGAAGAGGACUGUGGGGCCUGGAUAUUGCUUAGCUCAAGAUGGCAGUCCAGUUACUGAAAUUUCACCUUGUCACUGAUAGCAAAUGCAGAGAAAACUGUGCAUACAAGGUCAAUAGAAUCUGUUGACUGAAAUUAAAUUCCAUUCAUAUCCUAACUGAAGCAUGUUGAAAGCCUAAAAGCUUUUAACAAAUAACUGAAAACUAAGUGUGAAAGCCAGAGGGUUUUAUCUCCUGCAGGAGGAGAGAAGAAAAUAAUAAACUAAAGGAUUUAAUAGAGUUUUAAAAUUUCAGUGACAUUUUUAAUAUUCAGUUGAGCAGGUGGGAGAACCUGGGACCCUGACACAUGGGAUCUUGGUGAGCAAAUCUGAACAUUCCACUCCUCAGAUUUAUCUGAAGCCUCAGAGUGCACAUAGGUGGCCA
RNAcentral lists this long non-coding RNA (740 nucleotides) under Capra hircus (goat). RNAcentral describes it as "lncRNA (ENSCHIG00010001066.1)". Lineage: Eukaryota; Metazoa; Chordata; Mammalia; Artiodactyla; Bovidae. The record is from RNAcentral.